ACAGAGGAGAUGACGCAGCGACAUUUAGUAAUCGUGUUCAUUGGGACGUUGCUCUUCACUACUAGCAACGCCCAGGGAAAAGACGGAGCCAACAAGAGGGCAAGGAGGUCGCUCCUGCCUUAUACAGUAACCCUCGGCGACGCGUCGCCAGUC
Long non-coding RNA from Rhipicephalus microplus (southern cattle tick), 153 nucleotides. The record is from RefSeq and is a predicted model, not a curated record. Lineage: Eukaryota; Metazoa; Arthropoda; Arachnida; Ixodida; Ixodidae.